CUGAGAGGAUGAUCCGCCACACUGGGACUGAGACACGGCCCAGACUCCUACGGGAGGCAGCAGUGGGGAAUAUUGGACAAUGGGGGGAACCCUGAUCCAGCCAUGCCGCGUGUGUGAAGAAGGCCUUUUGGUUGUAAAGCACUUUAAGCGAGGAGGAGGCUACUCUAGUUAAUACCUAGAGAUAGUGGACGUUACUCGCAGAAUAAGCACCGGCUAACUCUGUGCCAGCAGCCGCGGUAAUACAGAGGGUGCGAGCGUUAAUCGGAUUUACUGGGCGUAAAGCGUGCGUAGGCGGCUUUUUAAGUCGGAUGUGAAAUCCCUGAGCUUAACUUAGGAAUUGCAUUCGAUACUGGGAAGCUAGAGUAUGGGAGAGGAUGGUAGAAUUCCAGGUGUAGCGGUGAAAUGCGUAGAGAUCUGGAGGAAUACCGAUGGCGAAGGCAGCCAUCUGGCCUAAUACUGACGCUGAGGUACGAAAGCAUGGGGAGCAAACAGGAUUAGAUACCCUGGUAGUCCAUGCCGUAAACGAUGUCUACUAGCCGUUGGGGCCUUUGAGGCUUUAGUGGCGCAGCUAACGCGAUAAGUAGACCGCCUGGGGAGUACGG
RNAcentral lists this ribosomal RNA (602 nucleotides) under Acinetobacter johnsonii. Its description in RNAcentral is "bacterial SSU rRNA". It matches the Rfam family "Bacterial small subunit ribosomal RNA", at positions 292 to 885 of the family's 1533-position model. Lineage: Bacteria; Pseudomonadati; Pseudomonadota; Gammaproteobacteria; Moraxellales; Moraxellaceae. The record is from RNAcentral.